UGCAGUUCGAGCGGACAGAUGGGAGCUUGCUCCCUGAUGUUAGCGGCGGACGGGUGAGUAACACGUGGGUAACCUGCCUGUAAGACUGGGAUAACUCCGGGAAACCGGGGCUAAUACCGGAUGCUUGUUUGAACCGCAUGGUUCAAACAUAAAAGGUGGCUUCGGCUACCACUUACAGAUGGACCCGCGGCGCAUUAGCUAGUUGGUGAGGUAACGGCUCACCAAGGCAACGAUGCGUAGCCGACCUGAGAGGGUGAUCGGCCAAACUGGGACUGAGACACGGCCCAGACUACUACGGGAGGCAGCAGUAGGGAAUCUUCCGCAAUGGACGAAAGUCUGACGGAGCAACGCCGCGUGAGUGAUGAAGGUUUUCGGAUCGUAAAGCUCUGUUGUUAGGGAAGAACAAGUACCGUUCGAAUAGGGCGGUACCUUGACGGUACCUAACCAGAAAGCCACGGCUAACUACGUGCCAGCAGCCGCGGUAAUACGUAGGUGGCAAGCGUUGUCCGGAAUUAUUGGGCGUAAAGGGCUCGCAGGCGGUUUCUUAAGUCUGAUGUGAAAGCCCCCGGCUCAACCGGGGAGGGUCAUUGGAAACUGGGGAACUUGAGUGCAGAAGAGGAGAGUGGAAUUCCACGUGUAGCGGUGAAAUGCGUAGAGAUGUGGAGGAACACCAGUGGCGAAGGCGACUCUCUGGUCUGUAACUGACGCUGAGGAGCGAAAGCGUGGGGAGCGAACAGGAUUAGAUACCCUGGUAGUCCACGCCGUAAACGAUGAGUGCUAAGUGUUAGGGGGUUUCCGCCCCUUAGUGCUGCAGCUAACGCAUUAAGCACUCCGCCUGGGGAGUACGGUCGCAAGACUGAAACUCAAAGGAAUUGACGGGGGCCCGCACAAGCGGUGGAGCAUGUGGUUUAAUUCGAAGCAACGCGAAGAACCUUACCAGGUCUUGACAUCCUCUGACAAUCCUAGAGAU
Molecule: ribosomal RNA, 970 nt
Filed under: Bacillus subtilis
Lineage: Bacteria; Bacillati; Bacillota; Bacilli; Caryophanales; Bacillaceae
Description: bacterial SSU rRNA
Rfam family: Bacterial small subunit ribosomal RNA
Source: RNAcentral